GGGUUUGAAUGUUAGCCAAUGU
This 22-nucleotide non-coding RNA is filed under the name Rattus norvegicus (Norway rat). Lineage: Eukaryota; Metazoa; Chordata; Mammalia; Rodentia; Muridae. The record is from RNAcentral.